GGACAGUAGCUCAGUGAGAAGAACAUCUGCCUUGCAUGCAGAAGGUCCCAGGUUUAAUUCCCAGCAUCUCCA
This is a non-coding RNA of Podarcis lilfordi (Lilford's wall lizard), 72 nucleotides long. NCBI's taxonomy places the organism in Eukaryota, Metazoa, Chordata, Lepidosauria, Squamata, Lacertidae. The record is from the annotation of a GenBank genome assembly.